UUACCCAGCUCGUCAGGUGGAACCAGCUUCGAGGUUAUCGAGCGCAUCACGAUGAACGACGUGCCGUUUAUUAUUUCCACCAGCGGCGCUGAAAUUUCACGAGGAUAUGCUUCAAUCGACUUUCAACGUCAUGCAAGCCAGUGUACACGAGUUCGAAGCAUCGAGUCACUUCACUUAUAACAUAUACGGAAGGCAGUAGCGACAAAAGGGCAACAAAACCAGCUGCGGCGACGGCGUCGAGGUUAAAGAUCCGCGUGUGUAUAGCGAUGAUGUAACACGCGCUAUACACUCGCUCUCUCUCUCGCGGGCUUAAGGUCGUUAUAGCGGAAUUGCAUAUCUAUAUGCGCGAGCGCCGCGUAGAAAGUAGAUGCGCCGCCACGGCAUGUGCGCGAUUCGGCGCUGUAGCUACACACUUUUUCCCCUGCCUCGGGAUAAUGUAAGCGCCGGGAAAAGUCUCGCGCGCGCUCGCGUAUAUGGGAAUGUAUGGACAAGAGGGGUGAGAGUGGAAGCGCGUAACUAUGUGUGGGAAGGAGGAAGAUCGUUGCAGGUGUUUUUCUUUUUAUACUGGAAUGCGGUUUGUUUGCGAACGCUGCACGCGAGGCGCGAUUUGAAAACGUGCGACCUUUGAAUUUUUUCGCCUUAUAAAUGCCGAGAGGAGCUGGCUUUUAAGGAAUUUCUCGUAAAUGGUGUGAGCAGUCGAUUUGCGAAAUGAGUUUUCGAUGACUGCGCGCGAGUUCGCUGGAAUCUGAAACGGGGACAAUGCCUAAUCGAUUUGGAAAAGUUCGAGAAACUAAUAUAAUUCUCGUGUGUACCGUGAUUAUAAUGAAAAUAAAUGCUCGUGUACUUAUGUUACACACUCGCUGGUUAUUAUUGUAUACUAUAACAGCUUAUUAUUAUUGGCUUAACGUGGUCGCAAGCUGUAACUGUAGAGAACCGAGCUUAUUGCGCAAAUCGUAGACUUAAAAGUCCCGAGUUCUCCGCGUUUCGACCUCGUCCUUAUUCGGACAUUUUUUUAUUUUUCUUAUUUUUUUUUCGAUCAAAAGCUACGUAAAUAGAAGCUAUGCGUACACCUGCAUCGCAAACCCUACUCGGCAAAGUUGUUUACAUUAGCUCGAAGAAUUUCGAACGCACACACACGCGCAUAAAACACCAUCGAGCCGCGCGCUUGGGAACAUGCCGCGAGCACUUUUACUCGAAAUACAGAACUGCAUUUUCGCGUUAUUUAAACUUGUUUUAUGACGUCGCUUAACGGUUCGCCCCGACGUUUUUUUUUUUCUCCUUAACGCCGGCUUACGUAAUUUCGAACGAUCGAGAUUUUUCGACUGUCGCUUGUAUAUACGCAUAAACUGAUCUCGGCGAAGUUAUUAAUCGAAUCAUGUGCCAAAAAAAAGGAUGCAUAAUCGGCAGCCCUUCUACUUAUAGUUUCGGUGAAAUUCCUCACCGAUCUCAGCUCUCUCUCUCUCUCUCUCUCUCUCUCUCUCUCUCUCUCUCUCUCUCUCUUUCGCGCGCGAGCUCCCAUCGCAAUAAUGGGCCGAAUUAGCAUCUUAAACGGUGCUCGUCGAAAAAUGACAUAUCGCGCGCGUUAUGUGUGAGAAUUUUUCUCGACUCGCAAUUUUUCACGAGAUUACGGUUGUGGCUACGGUUCCGCAAACCGGUUAGUCCGGUCGCAGCGCCGACUGCGCGCGCGCGCACACACACACACAUGCGCGCCUAAGUCGGCACACCUCCUUGUCUCAUCGGGCUGUGGUCGAAAUUACGCCCGGGGACCACCACCGCCGAUUUUUCCUUCCUUUUUUUUUGUUGCCUGCGCGCGAGAGAAAUUUCUGCAGUCGUUCGUUUCUCAAUCGGGAACGAGCUUGAAUCGCGCUUUUUUCGGGGACCCUGCGUAAAGUCAAGUUUUUACGCGAGGAUUUUUCGGAGGACAUUUAUACGUCAGACGAGGCUCUUGCAUUUCUUGAGGGGCUGUUGACCCGCCGCACGUGCGGAUAUUCUCUUGUGGGCUUCAGAUUUUCGUACGGGUUGGAAAAAAUGUCGACGGUGUGCUGUUUUUUGACUGAGUAUAACGAAUGAGUUGGCGAAUCAGUCGUUCAAAUUUGCUCUGCAAAUAAAGCUUUAUCGAAUGCCGAAAAUUUUCCUCUCGCAUCAGAUAAAAUCGUCAUUGACAAUACACAUGCCGACAAUGAGACGAAAACAGUCAAAAAAAUACAACCGCAAAAUCGUGUCCAUCGAGUGUACAAUAUAUAAUAGUCACGUGCAGUGCGUUCGGGUCGCUCCGAGCCAGACCGAGACGGCUCGAGAAAAAAAGGUUCAAGAGCAAGGACUGACACAGUUUCUCUCCCGGCGCUCUCCGUGCUGCCGAUUAUUAAAUUACCUCUCUCUCACUCUCUCUCUCUCUCUCCCUUGGCCGAUGCUUGAAAAAGCCAUUAUUUACAUUGACCCGCUUAUACUGCCCUACCCCCCUCCUUUUUCAAGCGCCGACUCUCUAUAGGCGACUGAUGUAUAGGCGAGCUUUUUUUUCUCUUCCUCGAACGUUUACAAACACACGGAAGGGAAAGUGUGCGCGCAACACAGUUGAAUGACACGUGCCGUCUGUACAUAUUGUGUAAUGGAUCGUAUAAUUGGAGUAUUAUACCAGACUCUCUGAUUUCUAAAUUGAUCGCAGCGGCGGAAAAGGAGAGGAUUGGUUUCGGAGGAUGUUUUUUCGCGCGUGUGCAGCGUGCGUGUAUAAUAUGAGGAGUUUUCUUUUGUCCGCGGAGUGUCCUUGAAGCAUUCAUGCAACGAUUCGUGAGAUUUUUCAAUGAUAUCUGCAGCGACAGUCCUGACGUCAACCCGCAUCAGGCAGCGCAGCGCGUGGCUGCUUUUUCUUUCGAAAUCGACUCUGAUUGACUAGUGGUUAUUGAUUUAUCAAAUUUUAUAAUUUAUAGUCAUUAGCGAGGAUUGCGAGACGCAAUUAGCGCUUCGAUUCGUUAAUCCGCUAAAUUAUAAAGUCCCUGUGUGACAUGUAUAUUAUACGUCGUGCUACUUCAACUCACUUUCGAUAAGUGUAGCGAGACAAAGAUACAGGUGUUCGCAUCGAGUGUAUUUAACAGGCGUCUCGCUCGCAAAAGCAACGUUGCCUUAUCACGAUGACGAGCCGUCGCAAUGAAAGUUCGUCAAAGAACGCAAAGUUCGCGCGCGAGAAGACGUCCGCGUCGCAGUCUCUGUCUCCCGCGAAAUUCACAUCGUCGCCGAUGCAAAUUACCUCCAUACCACGUGCUAUACUCCAUUGUCGCGCAUAUACUCCCGUUAUGAAUUCCAACACACUGCAGCACGUGAGCGAGACAGAGAGAGAGAGAGAGAGAGAGAGAGAGAGAGACAGGAAUUUCGCGGCGACGCGUCUCUCCAGCUCGCAAUUUCAAUCUACGAGACAGAUCCUGCCUGCGCUUAACGAACGCGUCCGCGCGAUAAUUUGAAAUUGGAGCUUGCGCAACUGCAUCGCAAUACUCACCAUACAUAGGGCCGAUGAGCACCAUGACGAUCAGCAUGAGGACCAUGACCCUCUUCCUUCGGUUCCUGGGUCCCUGCUUGAAGGCUACGCGAAAGGUCUCCUGCACGUGCCUCAGCGCGAAGAAAUCGGUAACCGAGGCCCACCAGGUCAGUCUCUUGAGCUCCGAAGCUUGCGCGAGUUUGAUGCUCUUUCUCAGUUCCAGGGCUCGAGGCGCCUCCUUGAUCACGAUCAGGCCGUACAUGAAGCUGAAGACGUAGCAGGCCGCGGCGAUGCCGAAGACCCCGUAGAAGCCGAGCUUGAUGUAGAGGACACCCGAGAGAGCCAUGCCGACCGGUACGCCGAGGCUCAGGAACGAGUUGACGGCGCCGACCCUCACCGUUCUCGACUCGACGCUCGUGAUGUCGCCGAUGUAGCUGAAGGUGCCCAUGAUCAUGGUGAACCAGCCGCCCGUGAGCGCUGGCCAGAGAGCUUCGAAGACACCGGCAGCUUCCAUCGGCAGCUCGUAGAACCAGUAGACGCAGGCUAUCAAGCUUAUGCUGGUGAGGAACUCGCCGACGAUCGGCAGCAUCAUGCAGGGCUUCCUCAAGCCGUUCCUGUCGCUCCACGCGCCCAUGAAGACGAUGAGGAUCGAGGGGAAAAAGCUCUGCAGCGCCGUCUUCCAGGUCUGCAUACUGGCGACCAGCUGUUGCACGGCCGUCUCCUCGAGCUCGAGUCCGCUGGUGUUGCGCGCCGCCAACGCCGCGCAGAUCGCGUCCGAGUAGCCGAGGUUCACCUUGCAAGCCUUCUCCAAAUUCAAGUUCUGAGUCGCCAGAGAGGCGAGGACACUCGGCAUAAUGUAGAACGCGACCAUCGGCUCAACGGUAAUGUUGCGCAGGAUGUAGGAACACUUCUGCCUGAUGCUCAUGGUUUUCCAGCCGAUCGAUGAGGACGUCGACUCGUCGGUGGUGGCUUCCUUCUUGUUGUUGUUGUUCUGCAUCAUCGUGCUGUCAUCGAGCGCCGAGGCGACGACUAUGUUGCAGGCAGCUACCGAGGGCUUGCUGCUGAUGGCAGUCUCCUGCGCCGGUUCCCUCAUUGCCAGACGUUCGCGCUGCGUGUACCGGACGACCAGUCGACAAGAUCAUAUACAAGGCCGAUCGGUGAUGAGGAUGAGGAUCGCCGCCUCAUUGGGCGCGCAGCUCUGCUGCAACAGAUGGGAAUACAGCAUGUAUUUUGCCCCGUAUGGAGAUCGAUGCAAGGCACACCCCCUCCCGGGAGAACAUCGGCGAAAAAAAGCGCGGGAGAAAUCGCAUCUGACCGAGCGAGGAGGAAGCCGGCUUAUGCGCGUACUGCUGCAGCAGCGUGUGAUUGAUGAUUAUUGCGCGCGCGAGCGGCUGAGAAAUGAGCCUAAUAGCGUCAUUAUGCGCUCGUAAAAUUUGGAGAAAAAGGAGCAGCUAGUUUAGGAACUACCGCCGGUGUGUAUAAAUAUUUCGGUUCCGCGGAGAACAAGGUCAGAGUCAUUAUACUGUAUAGACAGCUUUUAUCGGACACCGCGGGCUAAUUGAUUUUUUGGGCAUGAACAUACCUGCUGUAUAUUAGAAAGUUCGGCGUGCACACGAAAUUGAAAAAUCAUUUUUUUCCUUUUCAUCCGCGCGUUAAACAGAUAUUACUCGAAAGUUACGACGUAGUCGGGAGCAAAAAAAGUUUUCAAUCAGCUGGUCUAAUAAGAGUCUCUUUUUUUUUUGCACAACAGUAAAAUAAACGUGAAAAUUUUUUAUAGCGACCUUGCGAUUCGCCCGCGAAACACAAAAGUCUGCGCGAUGGUUUCACCUUCGUCCUCUUUUUUCUUUCUCGAACCUCGUGUACCACUGUGAAUUUUAUCGUUAGGACUAUCAAAUACUGUAACCCGUCGUUUCAGUCGUCGCGCGAUCGUAUAUACGAGUCUUUAUGCAGGAUAGCGCGCUUUCACUCUCGAUCCGGCGCCUGCUCUAUUACGCGGGAAAAAUCGAAAAAAGAUAGCGCGCUCGCGAUGCUGUAUUUUUCAUCGACAACAGGUUUUCGAGGCUUGUCUUUUUCCUUACCGCGUAUGCUAAUCUCGAUGACCUUAUCGCGAAAAUAUUUUUGAGUAUACACUAUAAAGAAUGAGCCAGUUGGAGCUGUUCUAGAUUUUUAUGCUCGUGUCCUCGAAAAGAGCUUGGACGUAUAUAAACAUGCAGAAUUAAUUAUACCGGUGCUGCACGUCAAGACACUCGCACGUGACACGCUGCCGAGUCCGCGCGAGAAUAUCACUUUCACUUUUACCGAAUUAUCGUCGCUCUAUUUUUUCCGUUUCUCUCUCUGUCUUUUUUCUCGAUAAAAAGUAAAAAAAAAAAAAAA
This is a long non-coding RNA of Nasonia vitripennis (jewel wasp), 5839 nucleotides long. RefSeq lists it as uncharacterized. The transcript has 3 exons. Lineage: Eukaryota; Metazoa; Arthropoda; Insecta; Hymenoptera; Pteromalidae. The record is from RefSeq and is a predicted model, not a curated record.